This 1659-nucleotide ribosomal RNA is filed under the name Salmonella enterica. RNAcentral describes it as "partial 23S ribosomal RNA". It matches the Rfam family "Bacterial large subunit ribosomal RNA", at positions 564 to 2208 of the family's 2925-position model. Lineage: Bacteria; Pseudomonadati; Pseudomonadota; Gammaproteobacteria; Enterobacterales; Enterobacteriaceae. The record is from RNAcentral.
AAAGAAGCAGAGGGGGCUUAGUGGUGGGGUGACUGCGUACCUUUUGUAUAAUGGGUCAGCGACUUAUAUUCUGUAGCAAGGUUAACCGUAUAGGGGAGCCGGAGGGAAACCGAGUCUUAACCGGGCGUUAAGUUGCAGGGUAUAGACCCGAAACCCGGUGAUCUAGCCAUGGGCAGGUUGAAGGUUGGGUAACACUAACUGGAGGACCGAACCGACUAAUGUUGAAAAAUUAGCGGAUGACCUGUGGCUGGGGGUGAAAGGCCAAUCAAACCGGGAGAUAGCUGGUUCUCCCCGAAAGCUAUUUAGGUAGCGCCUCGUGAAUUCAUCUCCGGGGGUAGAGCACUGUUUCGGCUAGGGGGCCAUCCCGGCUUACCAACCCGAUGCAAACUGCGAAUACCGGAGAAUGUUAUCACGGGAGACACACGGCGGGUGCUAACGUCCGUCGUGAAGAGGGAAACAACCCAGACCGCCAGCUAAGGUCCCAAAGUCAUGGUUAAGUGGGAAACGAUGUGGGAAGGCCCAGACAGCCAGGAUGUUGGCUUAGAAGCAGCCAUCAUUUAAAGAAAGCGUAAUAGCUCACUGGUCGAGUCGGCCUGCGCGGAAGAUGUAACGGGGCUAAACCAUGCACCGAAGCUGCGGCAGCGACACUAUGUGUUGUUGGGUAGGGGAGCGUUCUGUAAGCCUGUGAAGGUGGCCUGUGAGGGUUGCUGGAGGUAUCAGAAGUGCGAAUGCUGACAUAAGUAACGAUAAAGCGGGUGAAAAGCCCGCUCGCCGGAAGACCAAGGGUUCCUGUCCAACGUUAAUCGGGGCAGGGUGAGUCGACCCCUAAGGCGAGGCCGAAAGGCGUAGUCGAUGGGAAACGGGUUAAUAUUCCCGUACUUGGUGUUACUGCGAAGGGGGGACGGAGAAGGCUAUGUUGGCCGGGCGACGGUUGUCCCGGUUUAAGCGUGUAGGUGUGUGUUCCAGGUAAAUCCGGUUCACUUUAACACUGAGGCGUGAUGACGAGGCACUACGGUGCUGAAGCAACAAAUGCCCUGCUUCCAGGAAAAGCCUCUAAGCAUCAGGUAACAUCAAAUCGUACCCCAAACCGACACAGGUGGUCAGGUAGAGAAUACCAAGGCGCUUGAGAGAACUCGGGUGAAGGAACUAGGCAAAAUGGUGCCGUAACUUCGGGAGAAGGCACGCUGACAUGUAGGUGAAGUGAUUUACUCAUGGAGCUGAAGUCAGUCGAAGAUACCAGCUGGCUGCAACUGUUUAUUAAAAACACAGCACUGUGCAAACACGAAAGUGGACGUAUACGGUGUGACGCCUGCCCGGUGCCGGAAGGUUAAUUGAUGGGGUCAGCGCAAGCGAAGCUCCUGAUCGAAGCCCCGGUAAACGGCGGCCGUAACUAUAACGGUCCUAAGGUAGCGAAAUUCCUUGUCGGGUAAGUUCCGACCUGCACGAAUGGCGUAAUGAUGGCCAGGCUGUCUCCACCCGAGACUCAGUGAAAUUGAACUCGCUGUGAAGAUGCAGUGUACCCGCGGCAAGACGGAAAGACCCCGUGAACCUUUACUAUAGCUUGACACUGAACAUUGAGCCUUGAUGUGUAGGAUAGGUGGGAGGCUUUGAAGUGUGGACGCCAGUCUGCAUGGAGCCGACCUUGAAAUACCACCCUUU